GCCGAGCUUGGUAACGCGAGCUUAUAACCCGAGUGGGGACAUUAAGGUGUUGGAACGUUGGCUCCGUCUUAGCUGGUCGGGUCAGGCGCAAGCUCAUUUCCGACUUGCCCAUUCCAAGCAAGGAGUUGGGUUGUGUGGCAUGAGCGAAGGCCUGGGUCACAUUGUCCCUAAAGCGGAGGGCACAGCGUGAGGCUGGUUUCACAGAGCAGCGAUAACCUCCCGCUCCUUGCAGUGGAAGGAUAACAGGUCGGUGCUGCCCUGAUCCAUUGUGGCCCGCUAUACUCUGCCAAUUCGGACCUUCUCUUUUU
Molecule: signal recognition particle RNA, 308 nt
Filed under: Rosa chinensis
Lineage: Eukaryota; Viridiplantae; Streptophyta; Magnoliopsida; Rosales; Rosaceae
Description: sRNA RchiOBHm_Chr6g0280991
Rfam family: Plant signal recognition particle RNA
Source: RNAcentral